GAUCCUGUAUGAUUUGCAGGCUCAUAUACUAAAAUUGGAGUGAUGUGGAGCAGAGUAUUAUGAUCCCUGGGCAGGGAUAACAAGCAAAUUAAUGCAACAUCUCAUAUUUUU
This 111-nucleotide small nuclear RNA is filed under the name Nannospalax galili (Upper Galilee mountains blind mole rat). The record is from RNAcentral. Lineage: Eukaryota; Metazoa; Chordata; Mammalia; Rodentia; Spalacidae.